This 216-nucleotide long non-coding RNA is filed under the name Elaeis guineensis (African oil palm). RNAcentral's name for it is "long non-coding RNA (EGUI_LNC057436)". Lineage: Eukaryota; Viridiplantae; Streptophyta; Magnoliopsida; Arecales; Arecaceae. The record is from RNAcentral.
GACAGGAGGAAGUCUGGAAGAGAUUCGAAGAGUAGUUGAUCACUGUAGAAAAUUGACAGAUAGUGAAGCUCAGAGAGCAUUUGGAGCAGUCUGAUAGACGACUGAAGGAGCUCAUUAUUGGAGAAGUCUGGAGGGUACGGUAGGAGUUCAUCUAUUGGAGGAAUUUGGAUGGUAUUGUGGAAGCUCGGACGGUCGGGGGAGUUCAGAAGGAUGCCA